UCCCAGACUCCUACGGGAGGCAGCAGUGAGGAAUAUUGGUCAAUGGGCGAGAGCCUGAACCAGUCAAGUCGCGUGAGGGAUGACUGCCCUAUGGGUUGUAAACCUCUUUUGUAUGGGGGGAAUAAGCUUUACGAGUAGAGUGAUGACAGUACCAUACGAAUAAGCAUCGGCUAACUCCGUGCCAGCAGCCGCGGUAAUACGGAGGAUGCGAGCGUUAUCCGGAUUUAUUGGGUUUAAAGGGUGCGCAGGCGGAAUGUCAAGUCAGCGGUAAAAUUUCGGGGCUCAACCCCGUCGUGCCGUUGAAACUGGCGUUCUUGAGUGGGCGAGAAGUAUGCGGAAUGCGUGGUGUAGCGGUGAAAUGCAUAGAUAUCACGCAGAACUCCGAUUGCGAAGGCAGCAUACCGGCGCUCAACUGACGCUCAUGCACGAAAGCGUGGGUAUCGAACAGGAUUAGAUACCCCCGUACAU
This 468-nucleotide ribosomal RNA is filed under the name uncultured bacterium. RNAcentral's name for it is "bacterial SSU rRNA". It matches the Rfam family "Bacterial small subunit ribosomal RNA", at positions 329 to 795 of the family's 1533-position model. The record is from RNAcentral.